This 117-nucleotide long non-coding RNA is filed under the name Cyanistes caeruleus (blue tit). RNAcentral's name for it is "lncRNA (ENSCCEG00000005455.1)". Lineage: Eukaryota; Metazoa; Chordata; Aves; Passeriformes; Paridae. The record is from RNAcentral.
AGAAAAGAAAACAAUGAAAUGGGCAAAGGUAUAAUAAUCAAUUCAUCACAUUUGAGUUUGCUGCAGAGAACUGAUGUCAGUUUUUGUGCAGAUACUUCAGCCAGGAUAACCCCCUGA